Molecule: ribosomal RNA, 434 nt
Filed under: Fuligo cinerea
Lineage: Eukaryota; Evosea; Eumycetozoa; Physariida; Physaraceae
Description: SSU rRNA
Rfam family: Eukaryotic small subunit ribosomal RNA
Source: RNAcentral
AUACACUGAGACUUUCUCAAUGAUGUAAGUGGUGGUGCAUGGUCGUUCGUAGUUUCGUGGAUUGAUUUGUCUGGUCUAUUCCGAUAACGAGCGAGACCCCAUCGUUCCUACUAGGGGCGGUUAGCCCGCUGGGUCGCAAGGCCCGGUAGCUUCCGCUUAAGAUUAACUUCUUAGACGUAUCAGAGCCGAUAAGGUUCUUGAAAUGGGUUAAUAACAGGUCAGUCAUGCCCUUAGAUGUUCUGGGCCGCACGCGCGUUACAAUGGCACGUAAAGCGAGUGCUGGCAAAAAAGGCGUAACCGGGGCCGAAAGGCCCUGGUAACCCUUAGUCCCUGCCUUGACUGGGACAGAUCUUUGCAAUUAUUGGUCUCCAACGAGGAAUUUUUAGUAGGCGCAGGUCAUUAACCUGCGCCGAAUGCGUCCCUGCCCUUUGUAA